RNAcentral lists this ribosomal RNA (483 nucleotides) under uncultured bacterium. RNAcentral's name for it is "partial 16S ribosomal RNA". It matches the Rfam family "Bacterial small subunit ribosomal RNA", at positions 29 to 506 of the family's 1533-position model. The record is from RNAcentral.
AUUGAACGCUGGCGGCAUGCUUUACACAUGCAAGUCGAACGGCAGCGCGGGCUUCGGCCUGGCUGCGAGUGGCGAACGGGUGAGUAAUACAUCGGAACGUGCCCAGCAGUGGGGGAUAGCUCGGCGAAAGCCGGAUUAAUACCGCAUACGACCUGAGGGUGAAAGCGGGGGAUCUUCGGACCUCGCGCUAUUGGAGCGGCCGAUGGCAGAUUAGCUAGUUGGUGGGGUAAAGGCCUACCGAGGCGACGAUCGGUAGCUGGUCUGAGAGGACGACCAGCCACACAGGGGGUGAGCCGCGACCCAGGGUCCGAGGGACGGCAGCAGUGGGGAAGUUUGGACAAUGGGCGAAAGCCUGAACCAGCAAUGCAAGGUGUGUGAUGAAGGCCUGCGGGUGGGAAAGCGCUUUUGGCGGGAACGAAAAGGACUGUCCCAAAACCACGGUUCGAUGACGGUACCCGCAGAAUAGGCACCGCCUAACUACGU